Molecule: ribosomal RNA, 301 nt
Filed under: uncultured bacterium
Lineage: Bacteria
Description: partial 16S ribosomal RNA
Rfam family: Bacterial small subunit ribosomal RNA
Source: RNAcentral
CAGCAGCCGCGGGAAAACGUAGGUGGCAAGCGUUGUCCGGAAUUAUUGGGCGUAAAGGGCUCGCAGGCGGUUUCUUAAGUCUGAUGUGAAAGCCCCCGGCUCAACCGGGGAGGGUCAUUGGAAACUGGGAAACUUGAGUGCUGAAGAGGAGAGUGGAAUUCCACGUGUAGCGGUGAAAUGCGUAGAGAUGUGGAGGAACACCAGUGGCGAAGGCGACUCUCUGGUCUGUAACUGACGCUGAGGAGCGAAAGCGUGGGGAGCGAACAGGAUUAGAUACCCGGGUAGUCCCUGUCUCUUAUAA